ACUCCUACGGGAGGCAGCAGUAGGGAAUAUUGCGCAAUGGACGAAAGUCUGACGCAGCCACGCCGCGUGAGUGAGGAAGGCCUUCGGUUGUAAGCUCUGUCGCCUGGGAAAACGGACUAUUGGGGAAAGUUCCAGUAGCGUGAUGGUACCAGGAGAGGAAGCACCGGCAAACUCUGUGCCAGCAGCCGCGGUAAUACAGAGGGUGCAAGCGUUGUUCGGAAUUACUGGGGCGUAAAGCGUGCGUAGUCGGUAUUGAGAGUCGCGGGGUGAAAUCCCAGGGCUUAACCCUGGAACUGCCUGCGAGACCUCAGUACUAGAGUGUGAGAGGGGAUAGUGGAAUACCCAGUGUAGCGGUGAAAUGCGUAGAGAUUGGGUGGAACACCGGUGGCGAAGGCGGCUAUCUGGCUCACAACUGACGAUCAGGCACGAAAGCGUGGGGAGCAAACAGGAUUAGAUACCCUGGUAGGAUAGCG
This 473-nucleotide ribosomal RNA is filed under the name uncultured bacterium. Its description in RNAcentral is "bacterial SSU rRNA". It matches the Rfam family "Bacterial small subunit ribosomal RNA", at positions 335 to 799 of the family's 1533-position model. The record is from RNAcentral.